GUGGGGAAUAUUGGACAAUGGGCGAAAGCCUGAUCCAGCCAUGCCGCGUGUGUGAAGAAGGUCUUCGGAUUGUAAAGCACUUUAAGUUGGGAGGAAGGGCAGUAAGUUAAUACCUUGCUGUUUUGACGUUACCGACAGAAUAAGCACCGGCUAACUUCGUGCCAGCAGCCGCGGUAAUACGAAGGGUGCAAGCGUUAAUCGGAAUUACUGGGCGUAAAGCGCGCGUAGGUGGUUUUGUAAGUUGGAGGUGAAAUCCCCGGGCUCAACCUGGGAACUGCCUACAAAACUGCAUGACUAGAGUACGGUAGAGGGUAGUGGAAUUUCCUGUGUAGCGGUGAAAUGCGUAGAUAUAGGAAGGAACACCAGUGGCGAAGGCGACUACCUGGACUGAUACUGACACUGAGGUGCGAAAGCGUGGGGAGCAAACAGGAUUAGAUACCCUUGUAGUCC
This 450-nucleotide ribosomal RNA is filed under the name uncultured bacterium. Its description in RNAcentral is "partial 16S ribosomal RNA". It matches the Rfam family "Bacterial small subunit ribosomal RNA", at positions 354 to 796 of the family's 1533-position model. The record is from RNAcentral.